GAUUAACGCUGGCGGCGUGCAUAACACAUGCAAGUCGAACGAUAAAACUUAAAUUAUCUCUUCGGUUUGAUUCUAAGUGGUUUAGUGGCGGACGGGUGAGUAACGCGUGAGUAACCUGCCUUAGAGAAUGGGCUAGCCUUUGGAAACGAAGAAUAAUACCCUAUUAUACAAACCCUCCGCAUGUAGAGUUGGUCAAAGAUUUAUCUCUCUAAGAUGGACUUGCGUCUGAUUAGUUAGUUGGUGAGGUAACGGCCCACCAAGACAGCGAUCAGUAGCCGGCUUGAGAGAGGGUACGGCCACAUUGGGACUGAGACACGGCCCAGACGCCUACGGGAGGCAGCAGUGGGGAAUUUUGCACAAUGGGGGAAACCCGGAUGCAGCGACGCCGCGUGAUUUAGAAGGCCUUCGGGUUGUAAAAAUCUUUUCGAUGGGAAGAAAAUGACAGUACCAGAGGAAUAAGGACCGGCUAAUUACGUG
RNAcentral lists this ribosomal RNA (477 nucleotides) under uncultured bacterium. Its description in RNAcentral is "partial 16S ribosomal RNA". It matches the Rfam family "Bacterial small subunit ribosomal RNA", at positions 28 to 507 of the family's 1533-position model. The record is from RNAcentral.